Long non-coding RNA from Megachile rotundata (alfalfa leafcutting bee), 400 nucleotides. The record is from RefSeq and is a predicted model, not a curated record. NCBI's taxonomy places the organism in Eukaryota, Metazoa, Arthropoda, Insecta, Hymenoptera, Megachilidae.
UUGGAAGUACGCGAUUGUAUUGCACACUUUAUGUUUAAGAAAGGUGAUUCUAGGAACAACAUCUUCAUAAUAAUUACCUUACUUCGAUGGCGCCGGUGGGAUCGCGUUCGCAGAGCGCUUGAGAAAAUAUAGAUUUAAAAAUGUAUUUAGGACAGGUGAUACCUUUCUCAACAACACCAACAAUUCUGGGACACGGUUACAACACCGAUGAACAAAGAAGAAAUGAAAAUCCGUUUAUUUUAAUAAUAAAUAUAAGGCUUAUUGUUAUCAUAGUAUUAUAGACUAGUUGUUUAAGAGUUGCACAAAUUUGUAUGACACAUAGCUGUAAGUUUAAAUAUAAGUGAAAAAGAUAUAUGUAUUUUCAAUGUAAAACUGGCACAUAUCAGAAAGUUUAAAUAAA